GUAGGUGGCAAGCGUUGUCCGGAAUUAUUGGGCGUAAAGCGCGCGCAGGCGGUCCUUUAAGUCUGAUGUGAAAGCCCACGGCUCAACCGUGGAGGGUCAUUGGAAACUGGGGGACUUGAGUACAGAAGAGGAGAGCGGAAUUCCAAGUGUAGCGGUGAAAUGCGUAGAGAUUUGGAGGAACACCAGUGGCGAAGGCGGCUUUCUGGUCUGUAACUGACGCUGAGGCGCGAAAGCGUGGGGAGCAAACAGGGAUUAGAUACCCUGGUAGUCCACGCCGUAAACGAUGAGUGCUAAGUGUUAGGGGGGUUUCCGCCCCCUUAGUGCUGCAGCUAACGCAUUAAGCACUCCGCCUGGGGAGUACGGCCGCAAGGCUG
This 374-nucleotide ribosomal RNA is filed under the name uncultured organism. RNAcentral describes it as "partial 16S ribosomal RNA". It matches the Rfam family "Bacterial small subunit ribosomal RNA", at positions 527 to 896 of the family's 1533-position model. The record is from RNAcentral.